Molecule: ribosomal RNA, 274 nt
Filed under: uncultured bacterium
Lineage: Bacteria
Description: partial 16S ribosomal RNA
Rfam family: Bacterial small subunit ribosomal RNA
Source: RNAcentral
AUACAGAGGGUGCAAGCGUUAAUCGGAUUUACUGGGCGUAAAGCGCGCGUAGGCGGCUUUGUAAGUCGGAUGUGAAAGCCCUGGGCUCAACCUGGGAAUUGCAUUCGAUACUGCAUGGCUAGAGUAUGGUAGAGGGAAGUGGAAUUUCCGGUGUAGCGGUGAAAUGCGUAGAUAUCGGAAGGAACACCGGUGGCGAAGGCGACUUCCUGGGCCAAUACUGACGCUGAGGCGCGAAAGCGUGGGUAGCAAACAGGAUUAGAUACCCCAGUAGUCC